AGCGCCUGCGGCGGACCCGGCACGGACUCGGUCGAACGCUUCGCAGGCAGUUUGUCCGUGUACGGUCUGGUACAUUCCGGAAUUUUCCGGAUUUAAUGGA
RNAcentral lists this small RNA (100 nucleotides) under bovine gut metagenome. RNAcentral's name for it is "RT-5 RNA". It matches the Rfam family "RT-5 RNA". Rfam says of the family: Clostridium (Firmicutes). Environment (Cow rumen (57)) The record is from RNAcentral.